This is a long non-coding RNA of Zingiber officinale, 1644 nucleotides long. RefSeq lists it as uncharacterized. Lineage: Eukaryota; Viridiplantae; Streptophyta; Magnoliopsida; Zingiberales; Zingiberaceae. The record is from RefSeq and is a predicted model, not a curated record. The transcript is spliced from 3 exons.
GAAGGUGGUGGUGGAGAGGCCUCGUCCCGCGCCUUCGAGCAGGGCAAAGACAGAAUAGAAAAUGCCUUCUGGACUGGAGCGAGACCUUCCCUUUGCUCCUGCCAUUGCAGCUGGUUCGGUUGACAAAUUUCUGGAGUGGGUUGCCUUCCCCGGGGAGUUAAUGCUUGUUGAGGGGCGAAUUCGACCUAAAGCUCGGAUCUGUGCCAUCCGUGGCAGACAAAGUCUCCGGCAAGUGAUGCCGGUUCUUGUUCUUGCAUUGUAGAUUCCUUCGCCUUUGAGGUUUUGGCGGGGAGUCGUCGAACUAUUCGCAGGAUAUUCGCUGUGGUGAUUAGGUGACGGAUCAGGUCUAGGUUUCUGCGAUUUGGGGCGGACGAUUAGCGCCGGCUUGUGUUCUUCAUCAUUUUAGGGUUUGGUGCAGGUUGCUUGUCUUCUUCAUGUGCGAUUGGCCUCAAAGUACGGACUUGCGAGUCCUUGAGGAGUUUUAGGGUUCUUGUGACUCUUAUCGAAGCUUAUAGAGAACAGAAAAAUGUUGAAGGCCUACGCUUUGUGCCUGCAAGUUGGCUUACUGAGAUUUCAGAGUACUCUGAGGGGAUCAGUUGUUCUUGCCAACAUCUUUGGGGCGUCCAGUUUGAUUGAGAUUUCUUGAGCAUGGCCUGCAAAAAAUUGAGAUCAAAAGGUGAUCUCUUUCAACGACAAGAGCAAGCCUGGUUCUGCACAGCUGGACUUCCGAGUGAUCUUACUGUUGAAGUCAGAGAGAUGUCCUUCCAUCUUCAUAAGUUUCCUCUUAUGUCAAAGAGUGGUCUUUUCGAAAAGCUUGUCGAGGAGAACUUUGAUUAACAAGAGAAUUGUGUCGUAAGCUACAUGAUAUUCCUGGUGGGAUCAAAGCAUUUGAACUAGUAGCAAAGUUUUGUUAUGGUGUGAAGUUGGAACUCACUGCCUCAAAUGUUGUCUACCUACGUUGUGCUGCUGAACAUCUUCAGAUGACUGAGAAAAUAGCAGAGGGCAACUCGAUUGCACAGACAGAGAUCUUUUUUAAUCAAGUAGCGCUUUGUGGUAGGAAAGACCUGAUAAAAGCACUCCAAACAUGUGAUGAUCUUCUUCCUCAUGCAGAAGACCUUAGAUCAUCAAGAGACAGCAUUGAUUCUUUAGAGGCGAAAGCUUUCGCAGAUCCUAAUCCUUUUUGCUGUCCUAUGAUGGAGUAUGCCAUGGUGCAAAGCCCUUGAAGAAGGGAGGAUGAGGCUGUCGGAGCUCGAAAAGGAAUGCACAAGUAUGAGACAGGAUAUUGAGAAGUUGGGCAAGGGGAGGAGAGUGUUGAUUGGUGUCCAAAAGAAGUUGGGAUUCAGGAUCAAGUCCCAGUUGUGCGGUGCUAAGCGUGAAUCUGUUAGAGAUCAUCAAAAGGGAGACAAGAAGACUGAAAAGUUUUCAACAAAGAACACAAGACAAAGGAAUCAAGCGGCUGCAGAUCCAUGGACUUGCACUGGCUCGGGUUAACCAGUUUGUUACACUAGCAACAGUGAGUCUACGGUUUGUCUCUCAGAUAGUAAAAUUAUGGUCGACUUGAUACUGGUUUAAAAUGUCUUUGUAGUUCGUAACUGAUUACGAUGUAAGAAUUAUUGGUGGAAGAAGAAUAUAUUCCCUUGGAAA